GAGUUUGAUCAUGGCUCAGAUUGAACGCUAGCGGGAUGCCUUACACAUGCAAGUCGAACGGCAGCACGGACUUCGGUCUGGUGGCGAGUGGCGAACGGGUGAGUAAUGUAUCGGAACGUGCCCAGUAGCGGGGGAUAACUACUCGAGAGAGUAGCUAAUACCGCAUACGCCCUACGGGGGAAAGGGGGGGAUCGCAAGACCUCUCACUAUUGGAGCGGCCGAUAUCGGAUUAGCUAGUUGGUGGGGUAAAGGCCUACCAAGGCGACGAUCCGUAGCUGGUUUGAGAGGACGACCAGCCACACUGGGACUGAGACACGGCCCAGACUCCUACGGGAGGCAGCAGUGGGGAAUUUUGGACAAUGGGGGAAACCCUGAUCCAGCCAUCCCGCGUGUGCGAUGAAGGCCUUCGGGUUGUAAAGCACUUUUGGCAGGAAAGAAAUCGCACGGGCUAAUAACCCGUGUGGAUGACGGUACCUGCAGAAUAAGCACCGGCUAACUACGUGCCAGCAGCCGCGGUAAUACGUAGGGUGCAAGCGUUAAUCGGAAUUACUGGGCGUAAAGCGUGCGCAGGCGGUUCGG
RNAcentral lists this ribosomal RNA (579 nucleotides) under uncultured beta proteobacterium. RNAcentral describes it as "bacterial SSU rRNA". It matches the Rfam family "Bacterial small subunit ribosomal RNA", at positions 9 to 583 of the family's 1533-position model. Lineage: Bacteria; Pseudomonadati; Pseudomonadota; Betaproteobacteria. The record is from RNAcentral.